UUAAAAGAAGACGAUUCCAAAAGAAAGUCAAAAUGGGGAAUAGGAUGCCUUAAAGGUAAAUAAGAAAGAUCCUAAAUGAAAAAGAAAAUACCUGCCUUUCUAUUGAGAUGUGAUUUGUCUAGGGCUAGCUGAACUAAGCCUCAUCAGAGGAGGAAAGAUUUGCUGCUUUCAUACUUCUUCUUCCUGCUACGCCCUUGCUUUCCCACCGCUCCGUGGGGGGCCUUUUCUUCUCACUUGAGAGAUGCGAUUUGAAAGAAGAGAAGAGGUUCUAUCAG
RNAcentral lists this long non-coding RNA (275 nucleotides) under Nicotiana benthamiana. RNAcentral describes it as "long non-coding RNA (NBEN_LNC018543)". Lineage: Eukaryota; Viridiplantae; Streptophyta; Magnoliopsida; Solanales; Solanaceae. The record is from RNAcentral.